RNAcentral lists this microRNA (21 nucleotides) under Selaginella moellendorffii. RNAcentral's name for it is "smo-miR1087". Lineage: Eukaryota; Viridiplantae; Streptophyta; Lycopodiopsida; Selaginellales; Selaginellaceae. The record is from miRBase by way of RNAcentral.
UACAGAUUGGUGUUAGUGCUU